Molecule: non-coding RNA, 240 nt
Organism: Pelobates cultripes (western spadefoot toad)
Lineage: Eukaryota; Metazoa; Chordata; Amphibia; Anura; Pelobatidae
Source: the annotation of a GenBank genome assembly
CGUUCCGCUACACUGUUGAUGAGGGUAAAAGAGGAGAGUGCAAAAGCUGGAUUGCUGCUUAACAUUAAAAAGACUAAGAUUAUGGCAAACAGCAAUCUUAUUUCCUGGCAAAUAGAUGGGGAAGAAGUGGAGGCAGUGACAGAUUUUAUUUUCCUGGAAUCCAAGAUCUCUUCAGAUGGUGACUGUAGUCAUGAAAUUAAAAGACGUUUGCUUCUGGGGAGGAAAGCUAUGGCAAGCAUG